UGGAAAUUGUUGCUAGUAAUUCA
Molecule: microRNA, 23 nt
Filed under: Salicornia europaea (common glasswort)
Lineage: Eukaryota; Viridiplantae; Streptophyta; Magnoliopsida; Caryophyllales; Amaranthaceae
Description: seu-miR11039
Source: miRBase by way of RNAcentral